This 164-nucleotide ribosomal RNA is filed under the name uncultured Halomonas sp. RNAcentral describes it as "16S ribosomal RNA". It matches the Rfam family "Bacterial small subunit ribosomal RNA", at positions 375 to 528 of the family's 1533-position model. The record is from RNAcentral. Lineage: Bacteria; Pseudomonadati; Pseudomonadota; Gammaproteobacteria; Oceanospirillales; Halomonadaceae.
GGGGCACCCUGAUCCAGCCAUGCCGCGGUGGUGUGAAGAAGGCCCUCGGGAUUGUAAAGCNCUUUCAGCGAGGAAGAACGCCUGGCGAUUAAUACCCGCCAGGAAAGACAUCACUCGCAGAAGAAGCACCGGCUAACUCCGUGCCAGCAGCCGCGGUAAUACGA